GGCGUAUCACAUAACAAAUCUUUUCAUAAGAAAUUGCAUAACUGAAACCUUUCCACUCUUUCAUAAGCUCAAUUAUAUUUUCAUCUAAGCACUUACCAUUCCAAUGCACCUUAUAAUUAAACAUAUUACCAUUCAACAGUAAUUUGGCACUUGCCUAAACUUCAAGCAGCAACAUUGGUUAGCGUACUUUAAUAUUGACAAACUUAUUUUCUCGCCAUGUCUCACUUAAAU
This 231-nucleotide long non-coding RNA is filed under the name Gossypium barbadense (sea-island cotton). RNAcentral's name for it is "long non-coding RNA (GBAR_LNC016447)". The record is from RNAcentral. Lineage: Eukaryota; Viridiplantae; Streptophyta; Magnoliopsida; Malvales; Malvaceae.